Molecule: ribosomal RNA, 504 nt
Filed under: Scheffersomyces sp. BG090807.3.1.1.1.1
Lineage: Eukaryota; Fungi; Ascomycota; Pichiomycetes; Serinales; Debaryomycetaceae
Description: eukaryotic LSU rRNA
Rfam family: Eukaryotic large subunit ribosomal RNA
Source: RNAcentral
GGCACCUUCGGUGUCCGAGUUGUAAUUUGAAGAAGGUAAUUUUCGGAGUUGGCUCUUGUCUAUGUUCCUUGGAACAGGACGUCACAGAGGGUGAGAAUCCCGUGCGAUGAGAUGUCCAACUCUAUGUAAAGUGCUUUCGAAGAGUCGAGUUGUUUGGGAAUGCAGCUCUAAGUGGGUGGUAAAUUCCAUCUAAAGCUAAAUAUUGGCGAGAGACCGAUAGCGAACAAGUACAGUGAUGGAAAGAUGAAAAGAACUUUGAAAAGAGAGUGAAAAAGUACGUGAAAUUGUUGAAAGGGAAGGGUUUGAGAUCAGACUUGGUAUUUUGUAUGUCUUGCUUUCGGGUGGGGCCUCUGCAGUUUACUGGGCCAGCAUCGGUUUGGACGGUAGGAUAAUGACAUUGGAAUGUGGCACUACUUCGGUGGUGUGUUAUAGACUUUGUUGAUACUGCCUGUCUAGACCGAGGACUGCGUCUUUGACUAGGAUGCUGGCAUAAUGAUCCUAAAC